RNAcentral lists this ribosomal RNA (307 nucleotides) under uncultured Pseudomonas sp. RNAcentral describes it as "bacterial SSU rRNA". It matches the Rfam family "Bacterial small subunit ribosomal RNA", at positions 1077 to 1382 of the family's 1533-position model. Lineage: Bacteria; Pseudomonadati; Pseudomonadota; Gammaproteobacteria; Pseudomonadales; Pseudomonadaceae. The record is from RNAcentral.
GGGUUAAGUCCGUAACGAGCGCAACCCUUGUCCUUAGUUACCAGCACGUUAUGGUGGGCGACUCUAAGGAGACUGCCGGUGACAAACCGGAGGAAGGUGGGGAGUGACGUCAAGUCAUCAUGGCCCUUACGGCCUGGGCUACACACGUGCUACAAUGGUCGGUACAAAGGGUUGCCAAGCCGCGAGGUGGAGCUAAUCCCAUAAAACCGAUCGUAGUCCGGAUCGCAGUCUGCAACUCGACUGCGUGAAGUCGGAAUCGCUAGUAAUCGUGAAUCAGAAUGUCACGGUGAAUACGUUCCCGGGCCUU